Molecule: long non-coding RNA, 9035 nt
Filed under: Marmota monax (woodchuck)
Lineage: Eukaryota; Metazoa; Chordata; Mammalia; Rodentia; Sciuridae
Source: RNAcentral
UGGAGGAGGAAAUGGGAGGCAGCAGAGGAAGCGAGACCCGGCCAGGCCGCCUCCUGUUUUUCUGGUCAUCUUUACAUCACUCAGCUCUGGGCACGAGGCCUCGUUUCCAGAAGGGCCCUGUCAAAAAUGCACAUCUGUUACUUAGAAGGGUGACACAUUGACCCAGUGACACCGAUCUGCCUGUCAGAUGCACUGGCUGGCUCCGCCUCGAGCAGCAGGGACCAAGGGGAAGGGCACCUGGGACAGGUAAGCUCUGGAGGGGGCCGUGGGAAGGGCUGGGGCCGUGGAGUCCAGGCUUGGGGAAGGGCCAGAGCACUCUGAGAAGCUAGAGGACAGCAAGGAGGUGACAGACACCUGGGGACUCGGACAAGGGGGACAGAUCUCUACCCCCGGAGACCCUUUCACUACACAAUUAGGCUCCAACAGGGUGUUUGGGUAAGCAGGGCCCCUGGGUGAGGCCCUUUGCCUGGUGUGAUAUCAGCACUUGAGCACCUGACGAUGACAUUGGGUGUCCAAGGUGGGUCCUUGGGCAACUUCCUGAUGGGACAGUCCCUUGCUUUUGGCAUCAGAUAAGCAUUACAUUCAAGCUGGGCGUGGUGGUGCACACUGUAAUCGCAGUGACUUGGGAGACCGAGGUAGGAGGAUCACGAGUUUGAGGUCAGCCUCAGCAAUUUAGUAAGACCAUGUUUCAAAAUAUAAUGAGGGCUAGGACAGGCGCAGUGGCACACGCCUGUAACCCCAGCAGCUCUGGAGGCUGAAGCAGGAGGAUCUCGAGCUCAAAAUCAGCCUCAGCAGUGGCAAGGUGCUAAGCAACUCAGUGAGGCCCUGUCUAAAUAAUAUACAAAAUAGGGCUGGGGGUGUGGCUCAGUGGUUGAGUGUCCCUCAGUUCAAUCCCUGGUAUUGAAUAAAUAAUAAGGGCUAAGGAGGCAGCUCAGGGGUAAAGCACACCUGGGUUCAAUCCCCAGUAACAAUAGAAAAAAAGAAAUUAGGUCACGCAUAGUAGGAAAGCAAAGUACAUGAGAGUAGGGCGGAUGUUUCUCUCAUAUAAGAGAAUUCUGGAGGCAGACAGUCCUGGGCAUUUUCAGAACAAGAUUAAAGGAAUGGAGAUAGGUAGGGACACUCUCCUGACUCAAGUUCCAGGCAGUUCCCCAGGCAGAAUCCCCUGGAGCUUGAUAAAUGUCCCCUGCCUAGGCUUCCUUCCCUGUCCCAGUCCUGCUCUCUGGAUCUCACCUCCCAGAUCCUUCUCCUGGGGCCUCCUGGGGGCGGGGAAGCCAACCCAGUGCUUCCCCAAGGGAUGGAGCACUCUGGCAGCCCCGCUCCUUCCUUCCUGGACCUGGGAAGUGGCCUGGGUCCUCAGGCCCCAGGUUAGGGACUUGCCCAGUCACUCACCACCAGAGCAAGGUUGGAACCAGGCUGGGGGUUGGGUGGUUCUUCCUUAGGACAGACUCCCGAGCCUGAGCGCCUGGGCCGUCUGAGCUGGCCCUGUCUAGGCUUUGGCCUGUUGGGGCAAACUGCCCCUGAGUUAGGUCAAACCUGGUUGUUCCCCCACCCCCACACUAGGGUGCUCCCGCCCUGUGUCUUUUAAAGACAAGAAGCCUCCGCGUUGGCCACCCGGGGCUGCACCUAGCAGGCCUGCAGCGUGGUGGGGAGUUGGAUUGAAGAGGCGUGAAACCGCGGGCCAGCUCCUGACCCAGCAGGACAGCUGCUUCCUCGGGCCCUCCCUGCUUUGCUGGGCCUGCAGCUGCUGCCCAUGUCCCCUCCCUGGAGCCGGUGGGCGGAGGUGCGUGGGUGGGCAGCUGGGGAGGGAGAGGAAGGGUCGAGGAGGAAGGGCACCUGGCCGGGAAGAGGGUGGCUGGGGCUGGGGAGGGAAGCUUUGAUCCCGCAGCUUUGGUCCUUUCCGCCACAUUCUUCUCCCGGCAGAAGCACGGUGGCUGGGGGAUGGGCUGGACCCGCGCCAGCCCUCCCCUCCAUCUGUUCCCCUGCGAUGUUUGUGGAGCCGGCCAGGCACUCCCCCAACCCAGGCGCGCCAAAUGCCUGGGGUGGCCCGGAGGCUUGUGGGCAGCUGGAGGGAGGCAUUGGAAUCCUCCUCUCAGGAGCACAAGCAACUGCUAUUUCAGAUGUCCCCUGGAGAUCAGGGAGGGCCAGGCUCUGGGAUGGGGCUGUGAGGGCCUGACCCCUCUCUAAUAAAACUCCCCCACUGGGCUUUACAGUUUUCCAAACACUUUCACAUGAGGAACUCCUUUGAUCCUUCCACAGCCGGAGCCCGGGUAUCAUUAGCCCCAUUUUACAGAUGAGGAAGUGGAGGCUUUGAUUAAAAUGAGGGUUCCAAGUCACAUGUUGCAACUCAAGAUCUCUGCAGCUCACCCACUAAUGCUCACAAUCAUGGUGAUAACGAUGCUCAUGGAGCAUUAUCACGUGACAGGCACCGUGUGAGCAUUUUGUACAGUUGUGCGUCUCUGUCCUCAAAGAGCCCUCUUAGGUACAGGGUCACCUGUGCCUGGCAGAGAUGACUUUUGAACCUAGAGAGACUGCUGGGCUCCAUACCCGGGGAUUGCAAGUGUGGUCCCAGGACCAGGGGCAUCAGCUGGGCAUUUUUUGUUUGGUUUGGUACCAGGGACUGAACCCAGGGGCCCUUUCCCACUGAACAACAUCCCCAGCCCUUUUUCAUAUUUUAUUUAGAGACAGGGUCUCACUGCUUUGCUUAGGGCCUCCCAAAAUUGGUGAGGCUGGCUUUGAACUCAUGAUCCUCCUGCCUCAGCCUCCCAAGCUGCUGGGAUUACAGGCGUGUUCCACUGAGCUUAACUCAGCCGGGCACUUGUAAGAAACAUACCUUCUUAGGUCCCACCCCAGGCUUACUGAAUUAGAACCUUGGAGUGAGGCUCAGCCCUCAGAGUGUAAGGUCUACCUUUCCUCCAGGUGAUUCCAAUGUUUGUUUUACAGUACUGGUUUGAACCUAGGGCCUCACAUAUGCUAGGCAAGUGCUCUACCAGUGAGCUACACCCCCAGCCCUUUGGGCUUUUUCUUUUAUUUUGAGACAGGGUCUUGCUGAGUUGCUGAGGCUGGCCUCAAACUGGCCAUCCUCCUUUUUCAGCCUCCCAAGAUGCUGGGAUGACAGGUGUGCACUACCUCGCCUGGUUUCUGGUGCACUUUCAAUUUGGGAACCGCCAUCCAAACACAUUCUUUUAAUUCAGUGGAUUUCAAUCCUGGCUGCACAGUGGAAUCGCCAGGGGAGUUUUAAUAAAUACCACUGUUGAGCCAGAACCAGAAUCUCUGGGUCGGGGCCCAGACAUUAACAUUCUUUGACCCUCCCCCUUCCGCUAAUGCGCGCUCCUCUGUCUUUGGCAUUCUCUGAGGGCAGUGAGCCCUUCGUGGUUGCACACCCGACCAGCGUGUCCUAGAGCACAGAGCGAGGCAGCCUGUCCCAGAGACCCCUGAGGGAUUGAAAGGGAGACCUGGGGGUGGGGGCUCAGCCCCUCCUCCGUGCGAUACCUCCACACCGGCCCAGGAAGCCAGCGGAGGCCCAGAGACCUGGGCUGUUUGUCUUGGCACUUGCUCAAGCAGGCAGUUUCGCGUGCAGCUCCUUUGUUUGUGUGGUUUCACUGUUGGCCCAGUUUUUCCAGGGCCAGGUAGACAUCCCUGUGGAAAGCACGUCCAUUUCUGUUCCCCAGGAUCCCCCCAGAAACGGUGAGGCUGUCAUUUCCCUUAGCACAGAGACAGUCAGGAGUGUGGGUCUGGCUCCUGCUUCUGUCACUCUGAGCCUUGGGCUUGAGGAUUCCCUGACAUCACCCGUCAGGGAGGCCUGGCCUGUUGUCAGUCAGGGCCCUGCCAGGAGACAGGAACCUCACCAGUCACUUUAGCAGGGAGCAUCUAAUAUGCAGGAUUGUUCAAUAGGUUAGACUACAGGAAGGACUAAAGAGGCCCAGGAGACCGCUGAAACAUCAUGGAAGUCACCCACAGGAGCUUCAAGGGCUUCCCGGGGACUGGAGGGACAAGGGAAGAGGCUGGAAUUGUUGAAAACUAGUAACCUGUAGGACAAGCCAGGAGCCGGAGCCCAGAGCUCUGUGGGGCGGAGCCAACUGGUGCUGGUGACCUGGGAGGAAACCGGAGGCUGCUUCUUGGAGAACUGGAAAAAAACAAAACAAAAAACCCCAAAAAACAACCUGCAGGCAACUGUAGCUUGAAUGACUGCUGAUGUCAGGUGGCAAAGCAAGGCCGAGGAGGUGGGGAGAUGAGGGCCGCUGGUGACUGGCCGUCCCAGUUCGCCUCGUCCUUAGAGACCCUCAGGCCUUCCCUGCAGGCUCACCCGCCCCUGUUUUUCAGUUUUCUUUGUUGCUUGUUCAAUCAAUGCAAUUAUUGAUCACCUCUUAGGCCACUGCCCUGGGUCUGGUGUCAUAGCACCCAAAUUUAUUGAACAAUGUAUGUGCCUGACUGUAUUCUGAGCAUCUCAUAUGCUUUAACUCAUUUGCCCUCAUUUGAUAGAUGGAGAAACUGAGGCACAGAGAGUCACAGAGACUUUAAAAAACGGAUCAGAGUGCAGAAUGGGGAGGGUGCCACGGACAUGGGAACUAAUUUAAUCAAUUAAUUAAUUACUUGAAUAAACCUUCAGGCAGGCACGGUGGUGCUCCCCUGUGGUCCAGAUAUUUUGUAGGCUAAAGUAGGAGAAUCAGUUGAGCCCAGGAAUUCAAGGACACCUUGGGCAACAGAGAGAGACCCCAUCUCUCAAAUAAAUAAAUAAAUAAAUAAAUAAAUAAAUAAACAAACAAAUCUGCACCCUGGAAAGCAAAACCAGAUGUUCCACCUGCUCUUGGGAAGCUUCUAGUAGAAACAUUAUGUAAAAUUUUAUGCCCAGCCAGGCACCGUGGUGCUGGCCUGUAAUCCCAGGGAUGUGUGAGGCUGAGGCAGAAGGAUCACAAGUUCAAGGCCAAUUUAGUGAGUGAGACCCUGUCUCAAAAUAAAAAAUAAAAAGGGCUAGGAUGUAGCUCAAUGGUAGAGCACCCUUGGGGUCAAGUUCCAGUACUAAAAAUAGUAAUAAUAAUAAAAAAAUCAUGCCCAAAAGAGUAAGCCUCGAUAAACAGACUGUUGCUAUGAAAACUUAUCACAGGGAUUUGCUGUAAACACGAAAAUAAGAGAGGCUGCUUCCCAGAGAAAACAAUACUUGAGCUGGGACAGAAAAGAUGAGUGGGGCCUGGUGCAGUGUAAUCCUGUCAUCCCAGCCGCUUGGGAGGCUGAGGCAGGAGGAUCUCGAGUUCAAAGCCAGCCUUAGCAAAUUAGUGAGGCCCUAAGCAAUUCAUUGAGACCCUGUCUCUAAAUAAAAUACAAAAAAAAAAAAGGUUGGGGAUGCUGCUCAGUGGUUAGGUACCCCGGGUUCAAUCCCCAGUACCCCCCCCCAAAAAAAAAAAUCGAGCAGAGAUAAUCAAAUGAAGAAAAGAAGAAAGGGUUCCAGGCAGAGGGAACGGCAUGUGCAAAGUUUCUGGGGUGGGCGGGGGGGUUGCAUGGUGAGUGUGAGAGCUUCCAAAUCCUGCUCUUGAACUCUGGCCAGCUGACUUUGGCCAGCCCUCCCAGUCAUUGACCCACCUGUCAGAACCCCCCUCCUCAUCUCCAGUUUGGAGCCCUAUAGUCAACUCUCCCCUCAUGCAUCCCACAUCAUGCUGGCAGCUGGUCAUCACCUUCUAGUGUGUGGGUCCUGGGUGCUCUCACAACUCCAGGCCUCGGAAGACCCCGAAGCUGGUCUAGAAACAGUUAGGGAUAGUCCUAUGGGAUAUGGGGGCAGAGCAAGCCCUCAGUGAGGCUCUGGGGAGUAACUGAGUGCAACAUGUAAAUGACCAUUGUAAAAAGAAGCCUCCAGGGAGAUGAGGAUGGGGGUGGGGGUGGUACAAAUUGUCACACACACCCCAGCUUCCACUGGGAGUCUCUGAGCACUCAACACAUACCAAUUAACUCCCACCCCUGACCGCGGGUGGUUAAGGCAGUGAUUAAGCCCAUUUUACUGGGCAGGGAAAGGCAAAGGUGAGGCUGGAGAGGAGCACUUCUGUCUGGAGGCGGCUCCUCAUCCUGACCCUUUUUUUCUUUUUGUUAAGGUACAGGUAAUCGGGGCUGGGGAUGUGGCUCAAGCGGUAGCGCGCUCGCCUGGCAUGCAUGCGAUCCGGGUUCGAUCCUCAGCACCACAUACAAACAAAGAUGUUGUAUCAACGGAAAACUAAAAAAUAGAAAACUAAAAAAUAAAAAUUAAAAAAAAAAAAAGGUACAGGGAAUCGAACCCAGGGCUUCACCUAUGCUGGGCAAGCGCUCUGCCACUGAGCCACAUCCCCAGCCCUUUUUCACUUUUUUGCUUUGAGACAGAGUCUCCCUAAAUUGCUGAGGCUGGCCUUGAGCUUGUGAUCCUCCUGUCUCAGCCUCCCCAGUAGCUGGGAUUAUAGGGGUGGGAUUAAGCCACGGGGCACGACUUAAACGGACUCUUUUGGGAGGCAGCUGGGUCUUUGGAGAAUCAGCCCCCAAACCCUAUCUAGCCUCCUAAAGGAUCAAAAGAGGAAGAGACAGAACAGAGGGAAGAAAGGGCCUCUCUCUGCCCUGUUUACAGAAAACAAAGUGCCUUUGGGGGACUCUGGACUGGUUCCCCAAAGUAAUUAGAGCACACAGUCGGUGCUCCGCUGAGGCUCCCGCCCUCUCGUGGAGCCCCGCCCCCACGGAGCCCCGCCCCCACGGAGCCACGCCCCACAGAGCCCGCCCUCCACGGAGCCCCGCCCUCCACAGAGCCCCGCCCUCCCGCAGCCCUAGGGGGCCCCAGCUGGUCCGUGGGUCUGCAGGCCUGGCCUGUCCCCACCCCCACCCCGGCAGGCCAAGUUUCCACGGGCCCAGCCUAAUCAAGCGUUGAGGGCUGUGUCAUCCUCCCGGCUCCCUGGGAACAUGGGGAGGAGGAGCCUCUCUGAAAGGGCUCCUCUGAUUCCCAAGGAAAGUGAAGGGAGCCCCUCCCUUCCUGACCCCCCCGCCUGGGGUGGCCUUUCAGCAGAACCAGCGGACCAGACAUUCGGCACAAAGAUGAUCUGGAGUCCCUGGACCUCCCUCCGGGGCAGGGUGAGGGCGUGUCCUCCAAUCCCUGUGGGGUUGAGGGGCCCCAGGAGGCGCCACCCGUGUGCCAGGAGGAGGGCAGGGGUCCUGGGCGGAGUGGAUAUGGCCGGGACAGGGGGUCUCGGGCAGGGACUAGGUGGCUGACAAAGAGGUGGCCUUCGUGAUUUGUGACACCACUCGCAGGUCCCCUCGCAUCAGCCUGAUGUCCUGCUCUGCGGGGUGGGAAUGGGACUCCUCCUUCCCCACCUGGGCCUCCCCUGCCUCCCGUCGCUGGCAGGUCUGAGGGUGAGUCGGGGCGGCUCACAGGAGCUCAGAGGAGCCGACUGAGCCCUUCAGGAACUUUGUGAGCUUUGUGACAGACACUGCUGUCAUUAAAAAUUAAAUUAUUCGGACCAGGGCUGGGGAUGUGGCUCAAGCGGUAGCGCGCUCGCCUGGCAUGCGUGCGGCCAGGGUUCUAUCCUCAGCACCACAUACAAACAAAGUGUCUGCCGAUAACUAAAAAAUGAAUAUUAAAAAAGAAUUCUCUCUCUCUCUCUCUCUCUCUCUCUCUCACUCUCUUAAAAAAAAUUAUUCAGACCAGUGUUUCUCAACCUUUUGUUCAUUAUUGCUUUUUUUUUUUUUUGUACCAGGGAUUGAACUCAGGGGCACUCGACCACUGAGCCACACCCCCAGCCCUAUUUUGUAUUUUAUUUAGAGACAGGGGCUUACUGAGCUGCUAGCACCUCACUUUUGCUGAGGCUGGCUUUGAACUGGAGAGGCUCCUGUCUCAGCCUCCAGAGCUGCUGGGAUUACAGCCCUGGGCCACCACACCCCAAUUCAUUAUUUUUUUUAAGGUGCCAUUUUGGACGUUUCUGUGUUUCCCCACUCCCCUGCCCCCAUCUCCUAUCAACAUAGGCUCCCCUCCUCCAUGAAACUUUAAUAUCACAGAUAUAUCCUGUAUCUGUUUAUGUACUGGAUGUAUAUCUGUGCUUUGUGCCUAAAAGGAGUUCUUUUGUCCCCCAACAAAAACUCAAUUUUUGUCAAGAAUGUGUGUCAACUCAGAAUUAAACAAAUUAUAUUACAAACAAAGGUAAUGUGGAGCUCUGUGUGGGGUGCAAGUCAGUGAUCCCGACUUGGCCUUGAAUUUUCAAUCCUCCUGCCUCAGCCUCCUAAGUCACUGGGAUUACAGACGUGUGCCAGUGUUUGUAAAUAGCGAUUGCUUGUUUCUUGCUCAAACAGAGCACACACUUUUCUACACCUUUAGAGGUCAGGAUUGAGAACCCCCCUCCCCCCAAUCUCCUCCCAGCAUCUCAUAUCUAGAGACCCCUGUGGACUCCUUUCUGAAUGGCAUGCCAAGCUCUCUGGGAGACAUAGAGGCCUGAGUGGCACUGCCUGGCCCAAGGAGAGGGACACAAAACUUGCCAUGAGAUAGACCUGUGCAAGCAUUGAGUCACUCCCCGCUCCAGGCCUCGGCUUCUCCUUCAGUGAAAUGGGAGGAGUAGGCUGAGCUUCGUGGACCCCCAGCUCUCAAUGUCUGGCUUGGAAAGUCAGUUCCUCUUCUUCUAUCUGGAUAAGCUAAGAGGCCCCCCCUCUGACCUCUCCGUCCCCUCAUCUCUCAUCAGCUCAGCAGGAUGGCCUUCUCCAACUCAGCUGGCUCCAGCUGUCUCUCCUGCAAAAGGUGAUACGCAAGGGGACAGUGUGAACCCAAAUGCUGUGACAUCCCUUGUCAGCUGGCAGAUGGUGAGCCUUUAACAGCUGAUCCCAACACCCUUCUCCUCAUCUUUAAAGCAGGAACAAGGCCUGCAGUGCCUGGACUGAGGUAAGGUCACACAGCUGACGUGACACACACACACUAGGUCCUUAUGAGGGCUGAAUUCAUGAAUUUGUCCAAGCUCCCUGUGCCUGUACGACUAUGUGGGGACAGGGCCUUUAGAGGGGUAAUUAAGAAAAUGAGAGGGUGAGAUCCAGGGAGGUGUGUCUUUCCUGUGUCC